This 281-nucleotide ribosomal RNA is filed under the name uncultured prokaryote. RNAcentral describes it as "partial 16S ribosomal RNA". It matches the Rfam family "Bacterial small subunit ribosomal RNA", at positions 524 to 803 of the family's 1533-position model. The record is from RNAcentral.
UACGUAGGGGGCUAGCGUUAUCCGGAAUUACUGGGCGUAAAGGGUGCGUAGGUGGUUUCUUAAGUCAGAGGUGAAAGGCUACGGCUCAACCGUAGUAAGCCUUUGAAACUGGGAAACUUGAGUGCAGGAGAGGAGAGUGGAAUUCCUAGUGUAGAGGUGAAAUGCGUAGAGAUAUGGAGGAACACCAGUGGCGAAGGCGGCUUCCUGGACUGUAACUGACGCUGAUGCGCGAAAGCGUGGGGAGCAAACAGGAUUAGAUACCCCCGUAGUCCCUGAGCGGG